Molecule: small nuclear RNA, 63 nt
Organism: Tupaia belangeri (northern tree shrew)
Lineage: Eukaryota; Metazoa; Chordata; Mammalia; Scandentia; Tupaiidae
Gene: U7
Rfam family: U7 small nuclear RNA
About the family: Animal histone pre-mRNAs are spliced by a different mechanism than nuclear pre-mRNAs and self-splicing introns. This processing involves the U7 snRNP, which contains only one RNA species: U7.
Source: Ensembl
UAGUGUUACAGCUCUUAUAGAAUUUAUCUAAGAAGUUUUCUGGUUUUUAUCAGAAACACUCCC